Molecule: ribosomal RNA, 221 nt
Filed under: uncultured archaeon
Lineage: Archaea
Description: partial 16S ribosomal RNA
Rfam family: Archaeal small subunit ribosomal RNA
Source: RNAcentral
CGGUAAUACCAGCUCUCUGAGUGGUAGGGACGAUUAUUGGGCUUAAAGCGUUCGUAGCCGGCCUGGAAAGUCUCUCGUCAAAUCCAGCGACCCAAUCGCUGGGCCGCGGGAGAUACUACUAGGCUUGGGAGCGGGAGAGGCCGACGGUAUUCCCGGGGUAGGAGUGAAAUCCUGUAAUCCCGGGAGGACCACCAGUGGCGAAGGCUGUCGGCUAGAACGCG